Molecule: long non-coding RNA, 629 nt
Organism: Periophthalmus magnuspinnatus
Lineage: Eukaryota; Metazoa; Chordata; Actinopteri; Gobiiformes; Gobiidae
Exons: 3
Source: RefSeq, a predicted model, not a curated record
CUUGUGUUAUUAGAUUACUGCUGGACUUGUCCUUGUCAAACCCCAGACAUGGUCUCCUCACUGACUCUUUAAUGGGACAUUAGUAUUGGACUCUUGUGCAUGUGGCCUGUUUUGUUGUCCCCUGUAUUGUGUCUAACAGCUGUCUCUGUGUCCUUGUUACUAGGCAUGGCUGAGCGAGAUCCAUGAGUAUGCACAACAAGAUGUUGUGCUCAUGCUGCUAGGAAACAAGGCAAGGCAUUGUGGGAUGUCUGUCUUUGUUGGUAGAGGUAUUCAGUUUUCUUAUUUUUAUUAAUGACAAUAUUUAUGUUUACCAGGCUGACUCCUCACAUGAGAGAGUGGUGAAGAGAGAAGAUGGUGAGAAACUUGCUAAGGAUUUUGGAGUCCCCUUCAUGGAGACCAGUGCCAGGUCUGGUCUGAACGUGGAGCUGGUCUUCACUGCUGUGGCAAAAGAGCUGAAACAUAGGUCUAUGAAGGAUCCCAGCGAAACUUUCAAGCUCCAAGAAUACGUCAACAAAGAGAUGAGGGGAGCGAGCUGCUGCUAGACCCUGGCCUGCUGACCUCACUGUCUUUGUGCAUUUGUCAAACAAGGACAAAAAUUCUAUCUCCAUAAAUACAAUUCUCUGAAAACA